Molecule: unclassified non-coding RNA, 366 nt
Filed under: uncultured fungus
Lineage: Eukaryota; Fungi
Description: partial contains small subunit ribosomal RNA, internal transcribed spacer 1, and 5.8S ribosomal RNA
Rfam family: Eukaryotic small subunit ribosomal RNA (bases 1-73)
Source: RNAcentral
ACAAACUUGGUCAUUUAGAGGAAGUAAAAGUCGUAACAAGGUUUCCGUAGGUGAACCUGCGGAAGGAUCAUUACCGAGUGAUAAAAAUCACACCCUCAAAUAAAAAAACCGGUGAACUUUUCCUGUUGCUUUGGCGGGAACCUCUUAUCUUUCUUCCCUUUGGGAUUAAAAAACGAGGUGGCAGUAAAUAGAAAAUUAAAUUUAUUCUAUUGCUUUUCCCGCCAAAGGUUAUAAUCGACAAAUACCAUCCUUUUUUUCUUUUUCUAAAAAGUGUCUCUCUCUCUUUUAUUCGGAGGAGGGAAAAUAAUUUUUAUAAAAACUUUCAGCAACGGAUCUCUUGGCUCUCGCAUCGAUGAAGAACGCAGC